This 710-nucleotide ribosomal RNA is filed under the name uncultured bacterium. RNAcentral's name for it is "bacterial SSU rRNA". It matches the Rfam family "Bacterial small subunit ribosomal RNA", at positions 781 to 1494 of the family's 1533-position model. The record is from RNAcentral.
GAUACCCUGGUAGUCCACGCUGUAAACGAUGAAUACUAGGUGUGGGAGGACUGACCCCUUCCGUGCCGCAGUUAACACAAUAAGUAUUCCACCUGGGGAGUACGACCGCAAGGUUGAAACUCAAAGGAAUUGACGGGGGCCCGCACAAGCAGUGGAUUAUGUGGUUUAAUUCGACGCAACGCGAAGAACCUUACCAGGACUUGACAUCCUACUAACGAAGUAGAGAUACAUCAGGUGCCCUUCGGGGAAAGUAGAGACAGGUGGUGCAUGGUUGUCGUCAGCUCGUGUCGUGAGAUGUUGGGUUAAGUCCCGCAACGAGCGCAACCCCUAUAGUUAGUUGCUACGCAAGAGCACUCUAGCGAGACUGCCGUUGACAAAACGGAGGAAGGCGGGGACGACGUCAAAUCAUCAUGCCCCUUAUGUCCUGGGCUACACACGUAAUACAAUGGUGGUCAACAGAGGGAGGCAAGACUGCGAAGUGGAGCAAAUCCCUAAAAGCCAUCUCAGUUCCGAUUGCAGGCUGCAACUCGCCUGCAUGAAGCUGGAAUUGCUAGUAAUCGCGGAUCAGCAAGCCGCGGUGAAUACGUUCCCGGGCCUUGUACACACCGCCCGUCACACCAUGAGAGUCGGGAACACCCGAAGUCCGUAGUCUAACCGCAAGGGGGGCGCGGCCGAAGGUGGGUCCGGUAAUUGGGGUGAAGUCGUAACAA